This 253-nucleotide ribosomal RNA is filed under the name uncultured bacterium. RNAcentral describes it as "partial 16S ribosomal RNA". It matches the Rfam family "Bacterial small subunit ribosomal RNA", at positions 524 to 776 of the family's 1533-position model. The record is from RNAcentral.
UACGUAGGUGGCAAGCGUUGUCCGGAUUUACUGGGCGUAAAGAGCGCGCAGGCGGUCGUUCAAGUCGCGUGUGAAAGCCCCCGGCUCAACUGGGGAGGGUCACGCGAUACUGAUCGACUCGAAGGCAGGAGAGGGUAGUGGAAUUCCCGGUGUAGUGGUGAAAUGCGUAGAGACUGGGAAGAACACCGGUGGCGAAGGCGGCCAUCUGGACCGCAACUGACGCUGAGGCGCGAAAGCGUGGGGAGCAAACAGG